This 482-nucleotide ribosomal RNA is filed under the name uncultured bacterium. RNAcentral describes it as "bacterial SSU rRNA". It matches the Rfam family "Bacterial small subunit ribosomal RNA", at positions 29 to 506 of the family's 1533-position model. The record is from RNAcentral.
GUGAACGCUGGCGGAAUGCUUUACACAUGCAAGUCGAGCGGCAGCGCGGGGGCAACCCUGGCGGCGAGCGGCGAACGGGUGAGUAACAUAUCGGAACGUACCCUGUCGUGGGGGAUAACACAGCGAAAGCUGUGCUAAUACCGCAUACGACCUGAGGGUGAAAGCGGGGGAUCGCAAGACCUCGCGCGAUAGGAGCGGCCGAUAUCGGAUUAGCUUGUUGGUGAGGUAAAGGCUCACCAAGGCGACGAUCCGUAGCUGGUCUGCGAGGACGACCAGCCACACUGGAACUGAGACACGGUCCAGACUCCUACGGGAGGCAGCAGUGGGGAAUUUUGGACAAUGGGGGCAACCCUGAUCCAGCCAUUCCGCGUGAGUGAAGAAGGCCUUCGGGUUGUAAAGCUCUUUCAGCAGGAACGAAACGGUGGCUACUAAUAAAGGGGAUUCAUGACGGUACCGUAAGAAUAAGCACCGGCUAACUACGU